RNAcentral lists this ribosomal RNA (509 nucleotides) under uncultured bacterium. Its description in RNAcentral is "bacterial SSU rRNA". It matches the Rfam family "Bacterial small subunit ribosomal RNA", at positions 28 to 526 of the family's 1533-position model. The record is from RNAcentral.
GACGAACGCUGGCGGCGUGCCUAAUACAUGCAAGUCGAGCGGAUCUUCCCUUCGGGGAAGGUUAGCGGCGGACGGGUGAGUAACACGUAGGCAACCUGCCUGCAAGACCGGGAUAACAUUCGGAAACGAAUGCUAAUACCGGAUACGCAGUAUCCUCGCAUGGGGAGACUGGGAAAGACGGUGCAAGCUGUCACUUGCAGAUGGGCCUGCGGUGCAUUAGCUAGUUGGCGAGGUAACGGCUCACCAAGGCGACGAUGCAUAGCCGACCUGAGAGGGUGAUCGGCCACACUGGGACUGAGACACGGCCCAGACUCCUACGGGAGGCAGCAGUAGGGAAUCUUCCGCAAUGGACGAAAGUCUGACGGAGCAACGCCGCGUGAGUGAUGAAGGUUCUCGGAUCGUAAAGCUCUGUUGCCAGGGAAGAACAGCCGGAAGAGUAACUGCUUUCGGAAUGACGGUACCUGAGAAGAAAGCCCCGGCUAACUACGUGCCAGCAGCCGCCGUAAAAC